GAGGGCGGGAGCAAGCGUGAUCCGGAAUCACUGGGUUUAAAGGGUGCGGAGGCGGCUUAAUAAGUCAGAGGUGAAAGGCUGUGGCUCAAGCAUGGGAUUGCCUUUGAUACUGUUAGGCUUGAAUCAGGCUGAGGUUGGCAGAAUGUGGCAUGUAGCGGUGAAAUGCAUAGAUAUGGCAUAGAAUACCGAUUGCGAAGGCACCUGACUGGCCCUUGAGUGACGCUGAGGCACGAAGGCGUGGGGAGCGAACAGG
RNAcentral lists this ribosomal RNA (253 nucleotides) under uncultured bacterium. RNAcentral's name for it is "partial 16S ribosomal RNA". It matches the Rfam family "Bacterial small subunit ribosomal RNA", at positions 524 to 776 of the family's 1533-position model. The record is from RNAcentral.